AAUGUCUCCUAGAUUGCCUUCUCUCAGAUCCACUUGCACACAAACCUUCCAGGGCUCCGGGUCCUGAUUUGAGCGCUGGAAGGGAAAUGCGCCACUCCAAUUCUCCAGCUGCCUCCUCGCUGCUGUUGAGCUUCGGAGCACAGUAUUUAAAUCCUGUUAAAUAACCUGUUUUCAUGGGCAAUCACAGCCAGGUGUCUUAAAACUGGAGAGCAUCACAGAAUGCCAGACACCAGACACUCACCACACGCAGUGGGUGCUAUUUCUGCACCAGGCUCCAGAGAGUGCGUUCCUGGGUGCUGACGCUCCUACAGCUGCCUCCUCUGCAACAGCCUCUCCCCUGUACAGAUUCCUCACCACAUCCAGCCAAAUUGCCUUCAUCUCAGCAGAGGCUGUAGAAGGCAGAUGGCCAGGAGACUGGGGCCGUCAAUGCACUGGGUACAGCAGUGAUCCUCCGGGAUUUUCAACACCUCAGGUCCUAGUGGCCUGGGAUGAUCUGACCCCAGACACCCUCCCCAGAUGCAAGUCCAUCCCCAAUGCACAGGAAGGAAUACAUCUUUGGGUUGACUAAAACAUCAUACUGG
This 581-nucleotide long non-coding RNA is filed under the name Pongo abelii (Sumatran orangutan). RNAcentral's name for it is "lincRNA". Lineage: Eukaryota; Metazoa; Chordata; Mammalia; Primates; Hominidae. The record is from RNAcentral.